GACAGAGGGUGCAAACGUUGUUCGGAAUUACUGGGCGUAAAGCGUGUGUAGGCGGCCAGAUCAGUCGGAUGUGAAAGCCCUGGGCUCAACCCAGGAAGUGCACUCGAUACUGUUUGGCUUGAGUACUGGAGAGGUUGGUGGAAUUCUCGGUGUAGAGGUGAAAUUCGUAGAUAUCGAGAGGAACACCGGUGGCGAAGGCGGCCAACUGGACAGAUACUGACGCUGAGACACGAAAGCGUGGGGAGCAAACAGG
This 253-nucleotide ribosomal RNA is filed under the name uncultured bacterium. Its description in RNAcentral is "partial 16S ribosomal RNA". It matches the Rfam family "Bacterial small subunit ribosomal RNA", at positions 524 to 776 of the family's 1533-position model. The record is from RNAcentral.